UGGGGAAUAUUGGACAAUGGGCGAAAGCCUGAUCCAGCCAUGCCGCGUGUGUGAAGAAGGUCUUCGGAUUGUAAAGCACUUUAAGUUGGGAGGAAGGGCAUUAACCUAAUACGUUAGUGUUUUGACGUUACCGACAGAAUAAGCACUGGCUAACUCUGUGCCAGCAGCCGCGGUAAUACAGAGGGUGCAAGCGUUGAUCGGAAUUACUGGGCGUAAAGCGCGCGUAGGUGGUUUGUUAAGUUGGAUGUGAAAUCCCCGGGCUCAACCUGGGAACUGCAUUCAAAACUGACUGACUAGAGUAUGGUAGAGGGUGGUGGAAUUUCCUGUGUAGCGGUGAAAUGCGUAGAUAUAGGAAGGAACACCAGUGGCGAAGGCGACCACCUGGACUAAUACUGACACUGAGGUGCGAAAGCGUGGGGAGCAAACA
This 427-nucleotide ribosomal RNA is filed under the name uncultured bacterium. RNAcentral's name for it is "partial 16S ribosomal RNA". It matches the Rfam family "Bacterial small subunit ribosomal RNA", at positions 355 to 774 of the family's 1533-position model. The record is from RNAcentral.